This 228-nucleotide long non-coding RNA is filed under the name Gallus gallus (chicken). Lineage: Eukaryota; Metazoa; Chordata; Aves; Galliformes; Phasianidae. The record is from RNAcentral.
GGAAGAGGUUUUCCGUUGAUUUUGUGUAAACACUUCUCUGCAGUAGCCAGAUCUGCAAAUUCUACAAAGCAAUAGCCUGCAGGAAUUCCUGUCAACCUGUUUCGAAUGAUUUUUACACUCAGUACAAGCUCUCCCAUGGUGGCAAAGGCUCUUGAAACAAAGUUUUCGUCCAUGUAUGGCUCCAGGUCCCCCAUCCAUAGGCUGGCGGCCAUACUGCUCUCCCAGGCC